UUCCUCUUCCUGUCUCUUCCUCUUCCUGUCUCUGAUCACACUUCGCGCCACUGAGGAUUUUUAAGGAGCUGCGUUGUCAACUUGUAUCAUCACAAUCAAUCAGAAAAGUCAUUUUGUUGUGUUGAUUAUGGACAUCAGACGGUUCUUUGUAUCAAGCAAACCCGCAGCGCAGAAACCGUCUCAGGAUGGAAACCUCAACACAGAGUCCCCGAAGAAGAAAUCCGUCUCAACAGACGAAGAAGUGAAGAAAAAGCAAACUGCCACCAAGGUGGUGAAGAAGAAGAAGAAGGACAGUGAUAAAAAGAGAAAGAAGCGUGCUGUCAUUGAGUCAGGUAGGCUAGUUGAGAACAAAUUCUCAUUUGCAAAUGAGGCG
RNAcentral lists this long non-coding RNA (373 nucleotides) under Salmo salar (Atlantic salmon). RNAcentral's name for it is "lncRNA (ENSSSAG00000097894.1)". The record is from RNAcentral. Lineage: Eukaryota; Metazoa; Chordata; Actinopteri; Salmoniformes; Salmonidae.